RNAcentral lists this long non-coding RNA (1487 nucleotides) under Vulpes vulpes (red fox). RNAcentral's name for it is "lncRNA (ENSVVUG00000013168.1)". Lineage: Eukaryota; Metazoa; Chordata; Mammalia; Carnivora; Canidae. The record is from RNAcentral.
CAAUGGGGCCACUUCACAGAAUAUUCUGAAAUCUAAUCUGUGACACAGUGACACUACCUCGGCUCAUCAGACAUUCUCCAGUCAAAAGAUUGUGUCUAGCUGGCUUUGCUGACUACAGAGGGGAGAAGUAACUGUUAGAAAUGGCCUGCUCUCUCCAGGUUUGUGGAGGCAAAGGUGGACGGACAUGUUUCUAGUGAGCAAGGGGCAGGACCAGAAACUUCUAAAAAGGGAUGCCUGGAUGGAAUCCUCAUGCUGGAGUCUGAGGGACAGUCCAGCAGCAGCUGUCAGAUAACUGAAUACAACUCGGGUGGAACCAUGCACCAGCCGCUGCAGGAGGAAGAGGCCGUGGAGAAGGAAGCUGACCACAGGCCCCCAGCCACCGGACCACAGGGAGGAGAUGUUGCACCGGAAGGGCACCUAGGUUUCCAUCCUCGCUUGUCAACAAGCUCAGCUCUCGGUGGAAAGUGACAAUGGCCAGUCUGUAAAUGAUAAACCGAAGGAUUAGUACACUGAGAACUGAGUGGAAGAGCCCUCUGAAAGAAACCGUAACACAAAUGCGUCUGAUAUGAAGAGGAUGAAAGAAAGAAUGGAAGCCAAAAUGAAAAAAAAUAGGACACUGAAAAAAAACAAAAACAAAAUGACACCAGGUAAUUGAAUAAUAUGGCAGGUAGUCCAAUUUAGAACUGAAAUCCAGCUCUAUAAACUAAGACAUAUUCCUACUCCCUACUUGUUGGUUGAUUGGCUUGUUUUUCAAAGAACCCUAACCAUUAGGAAUUAUAUAUAUUCAAAGAAUGAAAUCUUUUCAUUCUCUUGCCAAGAAACAAAUUCAUAUUUUAAGAUCUUAAUAUAGUCUGUGCAUCUUAUUUUAAGUAACUUGAUUGGAUCAUAUAAUGGAUUGAGAGUGGCUCCUCUUCAAAGGAAGUUAUUUUCAAAAUUGUGGAAUUUUAGGUGAUUAGCAGUUAAAGGCUUUCUUUGGUUGUGUAUUCUAAACUAUCAUAGGAAAUAUUAAUAUUCUUUUUUUAUUUAAAAACAUUUUAGACCUACAGAAAAGUUGCAGAAAUAGUACAAAGAAGUGUACGUACCCCUUUACCCAGAUUUUCCACAUCAAAACCUAUUACUGUUUAUAUACAAGUAUCUUUUCCUGAAUCAUUUGAGAGUAAAUUGUAGAUAUGAGGCCUCUUUACUUCUAUAUACUUCAGUGUUUAUUUCUUUAAAACAAGGUAGUUUCAUAUAAAACCAUAUAAUUAUCAAAACCAGAAAGUUUACACUGAUGUGAUACUAGUAUCUAAUCUACAGACCAGGAACGCCUGGGUGGCUCAGUGGUUGAGCAUCUGCCUUCGGCCCAGGGCAUGAUCCUGGAGACCAGGAUCGAAUCCCACAUCAGGCUCCUGCAGGGAGCCUGCUUCUCCCUCUGCCUGUGUCCCUGCCUCUCUCUCUGUCUCUCAUGAGUAAGUAAAUAAAAUCUUAAAAAAAAAAAAAAAUCUACA